GGAUAGGCAUGCAGUCGAACGAAUCAGCCCUUGGAACCUUUGAAAGAGAUUUGAGUAGCAAUACGAUGAUCAAUUGAUGAGUGGAAAAGGUCCGCUGGUUAGUGGCAAACGGGGUAGUAACACGUGGGAACGUACCUGAAAGUCGUGAAUAAUGCAUCGAAAGGUGCACUAAUACACGAUAUCUCUUCGGAGGAAAGAUUUAUCGCUUUCAGAACGGCCUGCGGAGUAUCAGCUUGUUGGUAGUGUAAAAGACUACCAAGGCUAUGACGCUUAGGGGAGGUGAGAGCCUGACCCCCACCAUUGGAACUGCGACACGGUCCAAACACCUACGGGUGGCUGCAGUCAAGAAACUUCCGCAAUGCACGAAAGUGUGACGGAGCGACGCCGCGUGAUGGACGAAGCCCCUUGGGGUGUAAACAUCUUUUAUGAAUGAAGAAAUUUUUGACACUAGUUCAUGAAUAAGAGGCUCCUAACUCUGUGCCAGCAGGAGCGGUAAU
Molecule: ribosomal RNA, 497 nt
Filed under: uncultured bacterium
Lineage: Bacteria
Description: bacterial SSU rRNA
Rfam family: Bacterial small subunit ribosomal RNA
Source: RNAcentral